GGGGAUAAUCGGGAGAAAUCCCGUCUAAUACCGCGUAAUGCCGCGGGGCUGCAUGGCCCUGCGGCCAAAGGAAGCGAUUCCGGCAACGGAUGGGCAUGCGUGACAUUAGCUAGUUGGCGGGGCAACGGCCCACCAAGGCGACGAUGUCUAGGGGUUCUGAGAGGAAGGUCCCCCACACUGGUACUGAAACACGGACCAGACUCCUACGGGAGGCAGCAGUGAGGAAUAUUGGUCAAUGGGCGCGAGCCUGAACCAGCCAAGUCGCGUGAGGGAUGACGGCCCUACGGGUUGUAAACCUCUUUUGUCGGGGAGCAAAUUCCGCCACGUGUGGCGGAGUCGAGAGUACCCGAAGAAAAAGCAUCGGCUAACUCCGUGCCAGCAGCCGCGGUAAUACGGAGGAUGCGAGCGUUAUCCGGAUUUAUUGGGUUUAAAGGGUGCGUAGGCGGACUGUCAAGUCAGCGGUAAAAUACGGGGGCUCAACCUCUGCCCGCCGUUGAAACUGACGGUCUUGAGUGGGCGAGAAGUAUGCGGAAUGCGUGGUGUAGCGGUGAAAUGCAUAGAUAUCACGCAGAACUCCGAUUGCGAAGGCAGCAUACCGGCGCCCAACUGACGCUGAAGCACGAAAGCGUGGGUAUCGAACAGGAUUAGAUACCCUGGUAGUCCACGCAGUAAACGAUGAA
Molecule: ribosomal RNA, 680 nt
Filed under: uncultured bacterium
Lineage: Bacteria
Description: bacterial SSU rRNA
Rfam family: Bacterial small subunit ribosomal RNA
Source: RNAcentral